This 724-nucleotide ribosomal RNA is filed under the name Leuconostoc mesenteroides. Its description in RNAcentral is "bacterial SSU rRNA". It matches the Rfam family "Bacterial small subunit ribosomal RNA", at positions 52 to 758 of the family's 1533-position model. The record is from RNAcentral. Lineage: Bacteria; Bacillati; Bacillota; Bacilli; Lactobacillales; Lactobacillaceae.
UACAUGCAAGUCGAACGCACAGCGAAAGGUGCUUGCACCUUUCAAGUGAGUGGCGAACGGGUGAGUAACACGUGGACAACCUGCCUCAAGGCUGGGGAUAACAUUUGGAAACAGAUGCUAAUACCGAAUAAAACUUAGUGUCGCAUGACACAAAGUUAAAAGGCGCUUCGGCGUCACCUAGAGAUGGAUCCGCGGUGCAUUAGUUAGUUGGUGGGGUAAAGGCCUACCAAGACAAUGAUGCAUAGCCGAGUUGAGAGACUGAUCGGCCACAUUGGGACUGAGACACGGCCCAAACUCCUACGGGAGGCUGCAGUAGGGAAUCUUCCACAAUGGGCGAAAGCCUGAUGGAGCAACGCCGCGUGUGUGAUGAAGGCUUUCGGGUCGUAAAGCACUGUUGUAUGGGAAGAACAGCUAGAAUAGGAAAUGAUUUUAGUUUGACGGUACCAUACCAGAAAGGGACGGCUAAAUACGUGCCAGCAGCCGCGGUAAUACGUAUGUCCCGAGCGUUAUCCGGAUUUAUUGGGCGUAAAGCGAGCGCAGACGGUUUAUUAAGUCUGAUGUGAAAGCCCGGAGCUCAACUCCGGAAUGGCAUUGGAAACUGGUUAACUUGAGUGCAGUAGAGGUAAGUGGAACUCCAUGUGUAGCGGUGGAAUGCGUAGAUAUAUGGAAGAACACCAGUGGCGAAGGCGGCUUACUGGACUGCAACUGACGUUGAGGCUCGAAA